CUACGGGCUGCUGCAGUGGGGAAUAUUGGGCAAUGGGCGAAAGCCUGACCCAGCCAUGCCGCGUGAGUGAUGAAGGCCCUAGGGUUGUAAAGCUCUUUCAAUGGUGAAGAUAAUGACGGUAGCCAUAGAAGAAGCCCCGGCUAACUUCGUGCCAGCAGCCGCGGUAAUACGAAGGGGGCAAGCGUUGUUCGGAUUUACUGGGCGUAAAGCGCGUGCAGGCGGCUUGUUAAGUUAGAUGUGAAAGCCCGGGGCUCAACCCCGGAAUUGCAUUUAAUACUGGCAGGCUUGAGUGUAGGAGAGGAGAACGGAAUUUCCUGUGUAGAGGUGAAAUUCGUAGAUAUAGGAAAGAACACCAGUGGCGAAGGCGGUUCUCUGGCCUAACACUGACGCUGAGGCGCGAAAGCGUGGGGAGCAAACAGGAUUAGAUACCCUGGUAGUC
Molecule: ribosomal RNA, 439 nt
Filed under: uncultured bacterium
Lineage: Bacteria
Description: partial 16S ribosomal RNA
Rfam family: Bacterial small subunit ribosomal RNA
Source: RNAcentral